RNAcentral lists this ribosomal RNA (497 nucleotides) under uncultured bacterium. RNAcentral describes it as "partial 16S ribosomal RNA". It matches the Rfam family "Bacterial small subunit ribosomal RNA", at positions 28 to 507 of the family's 1533-position model. The record is from RNAcentral.
GAUGAACGCUGGCGGCGUGCCUAAUACAUGCAAGUCGAGCGAACAGACGAGGAGCUUGCUCCUCUGACGUUAGCGGCGGACGGGUGAGUAACAUGUGGAUCACCUACCUAUAAGUCUGGGAUAACUUCGGGAAACCGGAGCUAAUACCGUAUAACAUGCUGAACCGCAUGGUUCAACAGUGAAAGACGGUCUUGCUGUCACUUAUAGAGGGAUCCGGGCCGCAUUAGAUAGUUGGUAAGGUAACGGCUUUCCAAGGCAACGAUGCGUAACCGAACUGAGAGGGUGGUAGGCCACAUUGGAACGGGGACACGGUCAAGGCUACUGCGGGAGGCAGCAGUAGGGAAUCUUCGGCAAUGGGCGAAAACCUGACGGAGCAACGCGGAGUGAGUGAAGAAGGUCUUCGGAGCGGAAAGCUCUGUUAUUAGUGAAGAACAGAUGUGGAAGUAAAUAUGCACGUCGUGACGGUACCUAAUAAGAAAGCCACGGCUAACUACGUG